Molecule: small nucleolar RNA, 147 nt
Organism: Papaver somniferum (opium poppy)
Lineage: Eukaryota; Viridiplantae; Streptophyta; Magnoliopsida; Ranunculales; Papaveraceae
Product: small nucleolar RNA snoR135
Exons: 1
Source: RefSeq, a predicted model, not a curated record
GAAGCAGAGAUUGUGUGUAUCAGAAUUUUGCUUAAUUCUUGCAAUUUAAUCUGAAAGAUUUCUCUGCGAAAUUGAUUUAUCGGUGAAGGUGGGCAGUUGGGUGUCAUAAAUUAAUUGAUUCAAUCAACAAUCAUUUUCUCCACAUUU